GAACCAGUGCAGCAGAGCCACAGGUUUUGCCCAGGGAAGAAGCCCAGGAGUGGAAGAGUUCUGGAGAACAUCUGCACAGUGUAUCAAUGCACCUUACGAGAGAAUAAGAACAGAAAGCAUGGCAACUGCAGUGAAGGAUCAUGAAGGACAUGAGCAUGCCAGCCACCCUUCAGGGGAACACAUUUCUGUCUGUAACGACAUGGAUGGUGAGCAAAGAUGGUGGCCUACAUUUUGGAGCAGUAUUGCAGAUGCCUUAUAUGUAUUCUUCGGCUGCUUAUAUUUCCCCCCCCAUUAU
Molecule: long non-coding RNA, 295 nt
Organism: Cyprinus carpio (common carp)
Lineage: Eukaryota; Metazoa; Chordata; Actinopteri; Cypriniformes; Cyprinidae
Exons: 3
Source: RefSeq, a predicted model, not a curated record